GGAUGUGAGGGCGAUCUGGCUGGGACAUCUGUCACCCUAUUGAUCACCGGGGUUGAUGAGGCUGAUCUGGCUAGUUAGGUAGGUGUCCCCUUCCUCCUUCACCUUUCCAUGUGUGUCCCUCCUGAAGCUACACACUCAAUCAAAGAGGAUAAUCUUCCCUGAAUAGAGAUAGACCUGAUGAGUGUAUACAAGUAGCUAUGCUCCUCUGCUAGAACCUCCAAUCAAACUCUCUAGGAAAUCUUUCCUCAUAAUUCUAUCCAUGUGGCUCAGCUCUGCCCUCAGGG
Molecule: unclassified non-coding RNA, 284 nt
Organism: Erinaceus europaeus (western European hedgehog)
Lineage: Eukaryota; Metazoa; Chordata; Mammalia; Eulipotyphla; Erinaceidae
Gene: 7SK
Rfam family: 7SK RNA
About the family: 7SK was discovered as an abundant small nuclear RNA in the mid-70s but a possible function has only recently been suggested. Two independent studies have found that 7SK RNA binds the CDK9/cyclin T complex (known as elongation factor P-TEFb).
Source: Ensembl